Molecule: ribosomal RNA, 496 nt
Filed under: uncultured bacterium
Lineage: Bacteria
Description: partial 16S ribosomal RNA
Rfam family: Bacterial small subunit ribosomal RNA
Source: RNAcentral
AUGCACGCUGGCGGCGUGCCUCAUACAUGCAAGUCGAGCGAACGGACGAGAAGCUUGCUUCUCUGAUGUCAGCGGCGGACGGGUGAGUAACACGUGGAUAACCUACCUAUAAGACUGGGAUAACUUCGGGAAACCGGAGCUAAUACCGGAUAAUAUUUUGAACCGCAUGGUUCAAAAGUGAAAGACGGUCUUGCUGUCACUUAUAGAUGGAUCCGCGCUGCAUUAGCUAGUUGGUAAGGUAACGGCUUACCAAGGCAACGAUGCAUAGCCGACCUGAGAGGGUGAUCGGCCACACUGGAACUGAGACACGGUCCAGACUCCUACGGGAGGCAGCAGUAGGGAAUCUUCCGCAAUGGGCGAAAGCCUGACGGAGCAACGCCGCGUGAGUGAUGAAGGUCUUCGGAUCGUAAAACUCUGUUAUUAGGGAAGAACAUAUGUGUAAGUAACUGUGCACAUCUUGACGGUACCUAAUCAGAAAGCCACGGCUAACUACGUG